ACAGGUGGUGGCGAUGGUUGUCGUCAGCUCGUGUCGUGAGAUGUUGGUUAGUCCCGCACGAGCGCAACCCCUAUUGUUAGUUGCCAUCAUUCAGUUGGGCACUCUAGCGAGACUGCCGGUAAUAAACCGGAGGAAGGUGGGGAUGACGUCAAAUCAUCAUGCCCCUUAUGACCUGGGCUACACACGUGCUACAAUGGUUGGUACAACGAGUUGCGAGUCGGUGACGGCGAGCUAAUCUCUUAAAGCCAAUCUCAGUUCGGAUUGUAGGCUGCAACUCGCCUACAUGAAGUCGGAAUCGCUAGUAAUCGCGGAUCAGCACGCCGCGGUGAAUACGUUCCCGGGCCUU
Molecule: ribosomal RNA, 346 nt
Filed under: uncultured Streptococcus sp.
Lineage: Bacteria; Bacillati; Bacillota; Bacilli; Lactobacillales; Streptococcaceae
Description: bacterial SSU rRNA
Rfam family: Bacterial small subunit ribosomal RNA
Source: RNAcentral